CCCAGAUUAUCCAAAGAGAGAAGACAGAAUCAUUAUAAAUCCCAGUAGCAGUCUGCUGGCCAGCCAAGAUGAGACAAAGUUGCCUAAAAUAAGACUUUUUUGACUAUUCUAAAUUGACUCCUCUUGACCAGCACUGCUUCAUCCAAGCUGCUGACCUCCUCAUGGCCGACUUCAAAGUGCUCAGUAGUCAGGACAUCAUGUGGGCCCUGCACGAGCUCAAAGGACACUAUGCAAUCACCCGAAAGAAGGAACCUUUCCCUUUCUCAAUUUUUAGGCCUUUUCUGAUGCCAUUAAAAAAUGGCAGGAGCUAUCACCAGAAACCAGUGGAAAAAGGAAAAAGAGAAAAGAAAUGAACCAGUAUUCUUAAAUUGAUUUCAAGUUUGAACAAGGGGUUGGCAUCUGCACAUCCUUCCUGGGCAUCUCGUGGGCACUGCUCGAUUACCACCAGGCCUUGCACACCUGCCUCCCCUCCAAGCCCCUCCUGGGCCUGGGCUCCUCUGUGAUCUACGUCCUGUGGAACCUGCUGCUACUGUGGCCCCGAGUCCUAGCUGUGGCCCUGUUCUCAGCCCUCUUCCCCAGUAUGUAGCCCUGCAUUUCCUGGGCCUGUGGCUGGUACUGCUGCUCUGGGUUUGGCUUCAAGGCACAGACUUCAUGCUGGACCCCAGUUCCGAGUAUCCUCUAUUUCUCCUGGUUCAACGUGGCUGAGGGCCACACCCGAGGCCGGGCCACCAUCCACUUGGCUUUCCUCCUGAGUGACAGCAUUCUCCUGGUGGCCACCUGGGUGACUUACAGCUCCUGGCUGCCCAGCAGGAUUCCACUGCAGCUGUGGCUGCCUGUAGGAGGCGGAUGCUUCUUUCUGGGCCUGGCUCUGUGGCUUGUGUGCUACUGCUGGCUGCACC
Long non-coding RNA from Homo sapiens (human), 899 nucleotides. Ensembl annotates it as ring finger protein 216 pseudogene 1. Its record names the gene RNF216P1. The record is from Ensembl. NCBI's taxonomy places the organism in Eukaryota, Metazoa, Chordata, Mammalia, Primates, Hominidae.